Small nuclear RNA from Anolis carolinensis (green anole), 109 nucleotides. Its record names the gene U2. It matches the Rfam family "U2 spliceosomal RNA". From Rfam's summary of the family: U2 is a small nuclear RNA (snRNA) component of the spliceosome (involved in pre-mRNA splicing). Complementary binding between U2 snRNA (in an area lying towards the 5' end but 3' to hairpin I) and the branchpoint sequence (BPS) of the intron results the bulging out of an unpaired adenosine, on the BPS, which initiates a nucleophilic attack at the intronic 5' splice site, thus starting the first of two transesterification reactions that mediate splicing. Lineage: Eukaryota; Metazoa; Chordata; Lepidosauria; Squamata; Anolidae. The record is from Ensembl.
AUAUCUUGGCCUUUUGGCUAAGAUCAAGUGUAGUAUCUGUUCUUAUCAGUUUAAUAUCUGAUACGUCCUCUAUUUGAGGACUAUAUAUUCAAUGGAUUUUUAAAUUUUU